GGGGAAAUAGCCAAGAGGUCUAAGGCGGUGGCAUGCUAAGUCAUUUUAUUUUUUAUAACGAAGGUUCGAAUCCUUUUUUCUCCU
This 84-nucleotide transfer RNA is filed under the name Rickettsiales bacterium. RNAcentral describes it as "tRNA-Ser". It matches the Rfam family "tRNA". Rfam says of the family: Transfer RNA (tRNA) molecules are approximately 80 nucleotides in length. Their secondary structure includes four short double-helical elements and three loops (D, anti-codon, and T loops). Lineage: Bacteria; Pseudomonadati; Pseudomonadota; Alphaproteobacteria; Rickettsiales. The record is from RNAcentral.